GGCCGAACGAUGCAUUCGAACGCCGUAUCAUUUUUUUUUGGCAGACGGGUGAUUAACACGUGGGAACGUGCCCUUUGGUUCGGAACAACACGGGGAAACUUGUGCUAGUACCGGAUAAGCCCUUACGGGGAAAGAUUUAUCGCCGAAGGAUCGGCCCGCGUCUGAUUAGCUAGUUGGUGGGGUAACGGCCCACCAAGGCUACGAUCAGUAGCUGGUCUGAGAGGAUGAUCAGCCACACUGGGACUGAGACACGGCCCAGACUCCUACGGGAGGCAGCAGUUAGGAAUCUUGGACAAUGGGCGCAAGCCUGAUCCAGCCAUGCCGCGUGAGUGAUGAAGGCCUUAGGGUUGUAAAGCUCUUUCAGCGGGGAAGAUAAAGACGGUACCCGCAGAAGAAGCCCCGGCUAACUUCGUGCCAGCAGCCGCGGUAAUACGAAGGGGGCUAGCGUUGCUCGGAAUCACUGGGCGUAAAGCGCACGUAGGCGGGUCUUUAAGUCAGGGGUGAAAUCCUGGAGCUCAACUCCAGAACUGCCUUUGAUACUGAGGAUCUCGAGUCCGGGAGAGGUGAGUGGAACUCCGAGUGUAGAGGUGAAAUUCGUAGAUAUUCGGAAGAACACCAGUGGCGAAGGCGGCUCACUGGCCCGGUACUGACGCUGAUGUGCGAAAGCGUGGGGAGCAAACAGGAUUAGAUACCCUGUAGUCCACGCCGUA
RNAcentral lists this ribosomal RNA (710 nucleotides) under uncultured bacterium. RNAcentral's name for it is "bacterial SSU rRNA". It matches the Rfam family "Bacterial small subunit ribosomal RNA", at positions 60 to 804 of the family's 1533-position model. The record is from RNAcentral.